CGGACGUGUGUUUAUCUUUAUGAAUCAGGAAAGAACAACAGGAAAAUGGCUGCUUGCCUAAACUCACCCACACCUAAAAUCAGGGAAAUCAUGAAAAACUUUAAAACUAGAGCUGUGAGAACAAGUCACUUAUCUCACCAACAUGCAGCGUCAGGAUGGUGAGGGAGGAAAAAAACCAAAAACAAAAAAACACCUCCACGACUAUUAGACGCCAUCUGCAUGUCAUCUGGUUGAAAGUAAGGCUAGAAAAGGCCCUCGAUAACAAAUCUGGGUAGUUUAAUGAAAGCUACAGAAAAUGGGCACUUUGAUUAAAACAAACUAAAAAUUUAUGCAACAACCACUCCAAGUGGGUUUGGUGUGAAACCAAAGAUGCAUUUCAUGCCCAGUGUUUGGUUUGCUGAAAGAUAUAGAAUACUGUUAUCCGUUUUCUCUUCCAAAUAUCAGCAGACACUUGUUAGAAUUAGUUUGCUACGCCAGGAGAUUUGCACUGGUAAUGGGUCAUUAUUGGUCUUUCAGCAAUAUAAUGGGUUAAACAGAUAAAUCCUGCGGCAUAAACUCAAGAGAAGAGCGCACGAGAAAGGACUCAGGACGAUGAGACUGCGCGAAGAUAAAUGCUCAAAGAUGUCUCCGUUUGCUCCAACUUCAUGAAACUUUAUGCAAAAAGUUGGAGCUGUUCUGACAGCAACAGGAGGUUAAGAGGAAUUUAUCUUUACCGGCGGGUUCCAGUAAGUGAGGGUGGCAUUGUGCAUCUGCAUAAAGACAAGGGACUUUAUCAGAGCAGUUCAGACAUCCUACAUUUUAGGGAGAAACAUUAAAAAAAAAAGUCGAUAGGUAUUAUCAGAACUGCUGUCUUAUACAGCGUCUGCCUGCGCCAUGUGUGCAGCGGGGAACAGAGGGGAACACAAAGAGUCGGAGGCCGGGCUGGAGUGGGGUGGGGUCGCCUGUCUGUUACGCUGUCUGUGGGUGUGAAGAAGAGGAGCUUUUGUGCAGUCAGGUCAGCUACAGCCCCCGUGACAACGGCGGAGCGGGGCCGGCGGAGGUGAGCCGAGUUCAGCCAUGGAAACGGUGGGGGAGGUCUCGCCGUUGGUGAAGGAGCAGUAUGGAAAGAAGCCAGAGCCGGGGGCAAAGUCGCAGAUGGGCUCCGGCUUGAUGCCGUUGAUGUCCAAGCCCGACUGAUCGGGGGACGGCUGGAUGUCCAGAACCUCCUCAACUCGGGCUAGUCUGGACCUGCCUGACAAAGAGGGACACAGAUGCCCACCUAGGGGGGGCUCCCAUUGCAACAAUCUUGGCUACAGCAGCAAUAACAACACCCUCUAACAACUUCCUGUUUAAGAAGACAGGUUUUUAUGACGGCAACAACUCUCCCACCGCUGGCACAUAAUGAACAUUGUCAGAUGUGUUCCCACAUGUUCCAAAUCAGAUCAAUGGUUUCUCCAUGAACAGCUGGACAGUUAAUGGCACUGUCUCGUUAUGUUUAUAUACACUGCUCUCCACACUUAUUGAUUUCCUGGUUGAAUUAUGUAUACUCUCACACUGAAGAAAAAAAAAUCUGGUAAAAAAAGACCUUAAUUCUGAGCAGUGAAAAAAAAAAAGGUAAGAAAUCUUGUCAAAAUGCUUUUUUUGUUAUCAUUACUGGUGUCAAUGUUAUCUGUAUGCCUGGUUGACUCAGUAAAAUGUUGGCUCAGAAUUUUUGU
Molecule: long non-coding RNA, 1694 nt
Organism: Fundulus heteroclitus (mummichog)
Lineage: Eukaryota; Metazoa; Chordata; Actinopteri; Cyprinodontiformes; Fundulidae
Exons: 3
Source: RefSeq, a predicted model, not a curated record